UUCCGGUUUGGUCGCGCGGGAAUUAUGUUUCUCGCGGAGACGCUGCGCCCGGACUUGGAGCGGUCGACGCGUCGCAGCUGCGCCCUGUCCGCAGAGCAGCAGGUGAUCGUCGCUCUGCAAUUCUACGCCACAGGCAACUUCCUCAUCACUGCAGGCGACUACGUCCACGUGCAAGUCUCUAGUGCUUGAGGUUCCGUGAGGCAGGUCACGGUAGCUCUGGCACGUCGUGCAAGGGACUUCAUACGGUGGCCUGACGUCGCAGAGAGUGCUGCCUUGCAGGAGCAGUUCUUUGACGUAGCCGGGUUCCCUUGUGUCGUGGGUGCUGUUGAUGGCACCCACAUUCGAAUCCAGGGACCGCGUGUGCACGAGGAGGUGUACGUGAACCGCCACCUGUAGCAUUCCAUCAACGUACAGGUGGUAGUUGACGCAUCCUGCCGCAUACGCAAUGUGGUUGCGAGAUGGCCAGGAAGCACGCAUGACUCCCGGAUUAUCACCGAGAGCACACUAUCAGUCAAGCUGGCCGAUGGCGUCUACGAUGGCCUAUUGCUCGGCGACAGCGGCUACACCUGCCAGCCGUGGCUGAUGACGCCCUUCCUGUCGCCAUCAUCAGCAGCAGAAGUCAGGUGCAACACGGCACACACCACGACAAGGAGUAUUGUUGAAAGGACAAUAGGCCAGCUGAAGCGCAGGUUCCACUGCCUGCACGCCGAGCUGCGCAUGGAGCCAAGCGGAUGCUGCGACAUCAUCAUGGCAUGCUGCGUGCUCCACAAUCUCGCCAAGAGAUACACCUGCGCGAUGCCAGGGACUGCCAUCCCGCCUGAGGUUCCUGUGGAGCCCAUGGCAGCCGGCCGCGGAGAAAGCAACGAGGCCCGGCGUGCCCUUGUCGACCAGUUCUUCUGUUGAGCGUAGGACGUUCUCCGCCUCCAUCCGCUGCUGGUCCUCAGCUUGCAGCUGAUACCUCUGCGCAGCUUCCCGGCACCAACGUCUCGUCUGCAAGACACGGGGAGCUGCUGCCCACUCUUCUGCUGCUGCCACCCUUUGGCCGCUUCCUGACGCCCGAGGCUGCGGCGCUGCUGUUUGCCUCAAGCUAUCGCUGUGGCAAAUGGAUAUGCAGCAAGUGAUUUGCUGUAGUUAUUAGAAGUGUGCAGGCAACAUAGUAUAACAUACAGUGUUUGUAACCCCGACAUGUUGCUGGAAUUUUGCCACAGUGUACUUAACUGUAGAACAGAAACUCUCUGAUGCUUCAAGCAUCUCCGAGUGGACCACACACAUGGUGCUCAUGCAGAAAUCCAUGCUCACCGUUAUAUCCCGAGAAAUUGCCCACCCAAAACUGAGACCACAUUAGGUAAAAAUAAGGGGUAGGCUAACAUUCGGUGUUCACAAGGUAGCUCAACUUGAGCCAUUGAAAAAUAGAAAGUCCUGCUACAAAUCAGGAUGGGCUAUCUGUUGGGGAUGGGUCGUCUCUCGGGAUAUUACGGUAAUAUUCCUUGUACCGGUUGCAAUUUUCAGUAUUUCAUUACCUUUAGCUUUCUUAUAAAUUUCUUAAAAUUGCCGUUUAUUUCACCUAAGGAUGUUGUGAAACCAAACAUUCAAGUCUCGUUGUUUACGAAAUCCACGAUGCUACAAAAGAGUUUUCGCUUGGCUAUGUAGAGUCAAUAUCGCUAUGGCUUUCGAUCCUCCUGUUAAACCGAUAACUGAUGCCAUCAACGCUACCUCUUUCCUUUUUGCGUUCCGCACUAGUUCGUCUCAGCAUAAACAAUGAGUUUGUUCACUCAUUCAACAACUCAUCAAAUAUCAUGCGUAACAACAGGGGUGUACCUCUUUUUUCUUUAAAAGGAAGCAUAGUGUCUGAGAUGUUGCACCUGUUGGUUAAGCGGUUAGAACUAAAUAUCACCACCUUGCAUUCCUUCAACCAUCAAAAAGUGUACUACAACUCUUCUUUGUUCGGAUAUCUGGCUUUUGUAAAUCGGUAGUUCUGUUGUCUGGUUGUUAGCAAUAUUAGUAAUGAGCAGAUUUCGCUGCAUAUCCUUCUGUGUGUGUGUUUUUGCAGGUUGUUUGUAGAGCAAUUAUGCUGCCCUAUGAGUAAAAUGAAGAGAAAUUAACGAUUACAUGCUUGUCAUAAGUGACCCAAAGGCAGUGCAGUGUGUCCGCUAUCCUGGGCUUCCUAUCCCUAACCUGCAUCACGCAGUAGUGAUACAUGAAAGUGCGCUGAUUUCCAAUUAGAUAUUGUGUGUAUGGCACUAUGACAAUUUUUACAAUCUCCCUGUUUUCACGUCAGUUUCUUAGGGUCCCACCAUUAAUAACAGAGCUCUUCUGCAUGCCUGGCACCCAGUGCUGUUGACUUGUCAUACAGACUGAUGUAAGAGUAAUCCACUCACUCUUCCGUGUCACCCUCAAUGACAUCGAGCCCACACAGGUUCGGCGAGUCGACGCCGAUCACGUCGAGAACUGCCUGAAUUAGGGGCGUCAGUUCAUGGGGGUUCGGGCCGGCACCUACCAAAUGAAUGCACACUAUUUUCAUUCCGUAGUCACCCGGGCCCCACAGGCAUUGCAGAGUGGAGGGGGAUCAAUAACCAACUACCAAGCUAGAAUAUAAACAGCAGAAAUCCAACGGCAUUAUGAAGCAUGAAAUGAAAGCAUAGUAAUUUAUACUGUGUGGCAGAAAUGUAACUUCUUAACAUUGCAGUGGAGUGAUCUCGCACAAGUGACCUUCCAACAUGCACAUCGCUGCGUGCAAUUGUGCUGCAGUCAACUUUGUACAUAGUGCUUUCUGUGUGCCUUGAGGAUGCAGUAGUGUAGGGUAUUCAGCGACGUGUUCGAUGAACAACUAUGCCCUAAGUUUUAGGACUGUUUUCUUAAAAACAACAGAAAAGGCACAGUUUAGGUGGUGUGCUUUCAACAUUUUGAUCUCCUCUGUCUCAGGUCUACCACAAUUUUUGUUCUUUCAUGCGUGUCUCGGUUACUAAAACACGGUUAAAGGAAAUUUCAAUAAAUUGU
Molecule: long non-coding RNA, 2997 nt
Filed under: Ixodes scapularis (black-legged tick)
Lineage: Eukaryota; Metazoa; Arthropoda; Arachnida; Ixodida; Ixodidae
Description: uncharacterized LOC121046340
Source: RNAcentral